GACGAACGCUGGCGGCGUGCUUAACACAUGCAAGUCGAACGGAAAGGCCUUUUCGGAGGUACUCGAGUGGCGAACGGGUGAGUAACACGUGGGUGAUCUGCCCUGCACUCUGGGAUAAGCCUGGGCAACUGGGUCUAAUACCGGAUAGGACCGCACUUUAGUGUGUGUGGUGGAAAGUUUUUUCGGUGUAGGAUGAGCCCGCGGCCUAUCAGCUUGUUGGUGGGGUAAUGGCCUACCAAGGCGGCGACGGGUAGCCGGACUGAGAGGUUGGUCGGCCACAUUGGGACUGAGAUACGGCCCAGACUCCUACGGGAGGCAGCAGUGGGGAAUAUUGCACAAUGGGCGCAAGCCUGAUGCAGCGACGCCGCGUGGGGGAUGACGGCCUUCGGGUUGUAAACUCCUUUCGCCAGGGACGAAGCGUUUUGUGACGGUACCUGGAGAAGAAGCACCGGCUAACUACGUG
RNAcentral lists this ribosomal RNA (463 nucleotides) under uncultured bacterium. RNAcentral's name for it is "partial 16S ribosomal RNA". It matches the Rfam family "Bacterial small subunit ribosomal RNA", at positions 28 to 507 of the family's 1533-position model. The record is from RNAcentral.